AUACGUAGGGGGCAAGCGUUAUCCGGAUUUACUGGGUGUAAAGGGAGCGUAGGCAGCAAGGCAAGUCUGAUGUGAAAACCCGGGGCUCAACCCCGGGACUGCAUUGGAAACUGCUUAGCUAGAGUGUCGGAGAGGUAAGUGGAAUUCCUAGUGUAGCGGUGAAAUGCGUAGAUAUUAGGAGGAACACCAGUGGCGAAGGCGACUUACUGGACGAUAACCGACGCUGAGGCUCGAAAGCGUGGGGAGC
RNAcentral lists this ribosomal RNA (247 nucleotides) under uncultured bacterium. RNAcentral describes it as "partial 16S ribosomal RNA". It matches the Rfam family "Bacterial small subunit ribosomal RNA", at positions 523 to 769 of the family's 1533-position model. The record is from RNAcentral.